GAUGAACGCUCGCUACAGGCUUAACACAUGCAAGUCGAGGGGCAGCAUGAACUUAGCUUGCUAAGUUUGAUGGCGACCGGCGCACGGGUGAGUAACACGUAUCCAACCUGCCGAUGACUCGGGGAUAGCCCUUCGAAAGAAAGAUUAAUACCCGAUGGCAUAGUUCUUCCGCAUGGUAGAACUAUUAAAGAAUUUCGGUCAUCGAUGGGGAUGCGUUCCAUUAGGUUGUUGGCGGGGUAACGGCCCACCAAGCCUUCGAUGGAUAGGGGUUCUGAGAGGAAGGUCCCCCGCAUGGGAACUGAGACACGGACCAAGCUCCUGCGGGAGGCAGCAGUGAGGAAUAUUGGUCAAUGGACGGGAGUCUGAGCCAGCCAAGUAGCGUGAAGGAUGGCUGCCCUAUGGGUUGUAAACUUCUUUUAUACGGGAAUAAAGUGAGGCACGUGUGCCUUUUUGUAUGUACCGUAUGAAUAAGGAUCGGCUAACUCCGUG
Molecule: ribosomal RNA, 489 nt
Filed under: uncultured bacterium
Lineage: Bacteria
Description: partial 16S ribosomal RNA
Rfam family: Bacterial small subunit ribosomal RNA
Source: RNAcentral